UACAGGGGGGGCAAGCGUUGUUCGGAAUUACUGGGCGUAAAGGGCUCGUAGGCGGCCAACUAAGUCAGCCGUGAAAUCCCCAGGCUUAACCUGGGAACUGCGUCUGAUACUGGAUGGCUUGAAUUCGGGAGAGGGAUGCAGAAUUCCAGGUGUAGCGGUGAAAUGCGUAGAUAUCUGGAGGAACACCGGUGGCGAAGGCGGCAUCCUGGACCAACACUGACACUGAGGAGCGAAAGCCAGGGGAGCAAACGGG
Molecule: ribosomal RNA, 253 nt
Filed under: uncultured bacterium
Lineage: Bacteria
Description: partial 16S ribosomal RNA
Rfam family: Bacterial small subunit ribosomal RNA
Source: RNAcentral